AGAAAUAAGUAAAGAGCAACUGGUCAUUUUGUUAUCCACACAAAUUGUUGGCCUGCCUGGUAGGGACAAGACCCACCCCCCAAAGGGGAUCAUUUUUUUUCUGUUUGGUGUUGCAAACCAGAAGGCAAAACAAGAUAAACAAAAUCAGCACUUCUCUCUGAUGCCAAUCCAAUAACAAGGACUCAGUUUUGAGAAAAAAGGAAAAAGAAGUUUAUUGCUUUGCUAGCAAAGGAGAAGCACGGGACCUUCUGUCCCAGAGGCUGUAAUUAUGCCCAUGAAGGGGAGCAUUGGGUGUCAAGAGCUGUCCAUGGGUUGCAUGUGGGUCUCUGCGCGUGGAAGCCUCAUGGAUAGAGACACGUGGUAAAUGGGAGUGGCCAGUAAACAUUACCUCUGGUCAACUGCCCAUGGACAAAGUGAAUCUCUUUCCCACUCUGCCAUGGCCUACACAGCACCUGAGAUGGGUGUGACCUGCCAAGAUGUCAAUCAACCUGCUGACUGUAAGACCUCUCAAAGCAAGAGUCGGCCCUUGAAACCUUAUCCCUGCCUUUAAUGGACCCCUUUAAACCACUGGAGCCAUUUUCCCUUUAUCUAGUUCCAGAACCCAUGUGGUCACGAUCACGGGCUUUGCUUUCUGUAAAUACUGAGUAUAUGUGUUUUUUUUACAUACUAAUUAUCUGAAAUUGUUAAGUUUCAGGGUGGCUUGGAUUAUCCUGGGCAGGAAUAAGGACUCCUUAAUGAGACGCUGGCCACCACCCUUCACGAAAAUGGGUUUUUAAAGAGGGUCAUUAUCCAAAUAUCCUAUAACUCUGAGGGAAAUGAGCCUGGAUGAGGCUGACACGUGGGAGAACAAAUUGGAGAAGUCAAUGAAUGCCAGUCCUUGGAUACCUGGAAAAACCAUCAUGUGAAUAACAUUAGCUUUUCAGUGAAAAAGGCCACAUGGAGAACCAAGAACUGAAGCAACCCAGCCAACCAGCCUGUCAACUUCAAGACACGUGAGGUCACCCAGCUCCAGCUCUGGAGCCAGCUGACUAGCCACAUAAGAAUCAGCCCAAAUGUGCUAGGUCUAUUUGCUGACCAACAGAUUUGCAAACUAAUAAAUGAUUUCA
Molecule: non-coding RNA, 1106 nt
Organism: Ictidomys tridecemlineatus (thirteen-lined ground squirrel)
Lineage: Eukaryota; Metazoa; Chordata; Mammalia; Rodentia; Sciuridae
Source: RefSeq, a predicted model, not a curated record